RNAcentral lists this ribosomal RNA (328 nucleotides) under uncultured eukaryote. RNAcentral's name for it is "partial 18S ribosomal RNA". It matches the Rfam family "Eukaryotic small subunit ribosomal RNA", at positions 1470 to 1796 of the family's 1831-position model. The record is from RNAcentral.
CCCUUAGAUGUCCUGGGCCGCACGCGCGUUACACUGUUGCAUUCAACGAGCUUAUAACCUUGGCCGAGAGGCCUGGGCAAUCUUGUUAACGUGCAUCGUGAUAGGGAUAGAUUAUUGAAAUUAUUAAUCUUGAACGAGGAAUUCCUAGUAAACGCAGAUCAUCAAUCUGCAUUGAUUACGUCCCUGCCCUUUGUACACACCGCCCGUCGCACCUACCGAUUGGAUGGUCCGGUGAAGCCUCGGGAUUGUGGUUCUUGCCGCUUUAUUGUGGCGUGACCGCGAGAACUUGUCUAAACCUUAUCAUCUAGAGGAAGGUGAANUCGUANCA